GUUCCUGGAGGGUGUGGCACAGGACAGGAGAGACAGCAUAAUAACAUGUUUAUAUCGUUGACUGAGAGUAGGAUAGUUAGACACAAGGUGCAUUAAAAACGCCUGCUCAUGACAGUCCUUUUAGCUGUAUAUGAAAAUCCUUGACUCAAUACUGGCCUGUCUCUGCUGCUGGCUCUUUGGGAGCUGGUUAUAUAACCAUCAGUCACUAAACACUGCAGAGGAGCCUGCAGAACCAAAACUUUGACCGGACUGGAUCAUCAUACCUUAAGCUGGCAGGAAUGUGUCUCUCACCACUAAGAAACAGCAAAAACCAAAAGGCCACAGAUUUGAGCCUCACAACAGCCAACAGAGAUGUAGAGUCCGCUCUCUUUUUGCAGGCUGUAACAUGCAUUUCUACUGUUAGCAUGAUUGCAACUGCCAUUAGCCUAGCUUACUGAGAUGCUGUAAACCCAGCAAGAAAAUCAAGUAGCAAUUAAUGAAAA
Long non-coding RNA from Sander lucioperca (pikeperch), 482 nucleotides. RefSeq lists it as uncharacterized. The record is from RefSeq and is a predicted model, not a curated record. The transcript is spliced from 2 exons. NCBI's taxonomy places the organism in Eukaryota, Metazoa, Chordata, Actinopteri, Perciformes, Percidae.